UCCGGGUUACGGCGCUGGCGUCCGUGGCCGCGCUUUGGACGCGGAGCCCGCAGGUUCGAUUCCUGCACCCGGAGC
This 75-nucleotide transfer RNA is filed under the name Asanoa ishikariensis. RNAcentral's name for it is "tRNA-Gln". Lineage: Bacteria; Bacillati; Actinomycetota; Actinomycetes; Micromonosporales; Micromonosporaceae. The record is from RNAcentral.